GGGAUCCAAGCCGCGUCUGCAACCUACACCACAGCUCACGGCAACGCCUGAUCCUUAACCCACUGAGCAAGCCUGGGAACUUCCAUAUGCCAUGGGUGUGGCCUAAUAAAGCAAAAAAAUAAAGUCAAUUGGACAGGUUCACUGUGGCAAUCAUUCUGGAGCAACUUGGAAAUGCAAUAGAUGGAGUUCCCUUAUGGAUUAGCAGGUUAAGGAUCUGGCAUUGUCAGUACAGUGGCUCAGGUUGCUACUGUGGUAUGGGUAGUAGAGGGCCAAGGAGACCUAGGACAAUUGCCAUGCUUAUAUGUGACACCUGUUCUUAAGUUAAUGCAAAAACCCCAUUGUAAACCGUGUGAUUGACACUAUCUUUCUGCUUACUGUGAUGGUGAAAAUGCAAAGGCAUGUCAUGGGGAAUGCUUUUUUCCACAUGUGUGAUCAAGUUUCCAGUACAUAAUUAUAAAUAAGCUUUACUCUUGCCUUUAUCAGAUGUCAGUUUCUGCAUAGCAAAUUACAGCCAAAAUUUGACUUAAAACAGUUUAUUAUCUUGCAGAUUUUGUGGGUCGGAAAUCAAUUCAUAUAGCAGAAAUUAUCACAACAUUGUAAAUCAAUCAACUAUAGUUCAAUAAAACUUUUAAAAAUGAAAAAAGGAGUUUACAUCGUGGCUCAAAGGAAACGAAUCUGACUAGCAUCUAUGAGGACACAGGUUCAACCCCUGGCCUUGAUCAGUGGGUUAAGGAUCUGGCGUUGCUGUGAGCUGUGGUGUAGGUCACAGAUGUAGCUCGGAUCCCACGUUGCUGUGGUUGUGGCGUAAGCUGGAAGCUACAGCUUCCAUUCCACAUCCCCCCUCCACUUCGGAACCUCCCUAUGCUGUGGGUGUGGCCCUAAAAAGACAAACAAUAACAACAUGACAAUCCUGGAGUGGCUUUUCUAGACCCUCCAUUUCAGGGCAUCUUAUGAGGCUGCAGUGAUAUAGGCUACAUUCAUUUCAAGGCCUAUUAGGGAUAAACUGCUUCCAAAUUCAGUCUUGUGGUUGUUGGUAGGAUUUAGUUCCUUACGGGCUGUUGGCUGGAGCCUCCCUAAGUCCCUGGCCAUGCGGGCCUCUCCUUAGGGCAGCUUCCAGUCUGGCAGCUGGGGGCCAUCACAGUGAGUGAGAGAUCAAGAGAGAAGCCUAUCUUUUGACCACCCAAUAUUGGCAGUGACCAUCCAUCGUUCUGCUGUAUUCCACUCAUUAAAAGCUAGUCAUUGGUCCCACCUACACCUGAAGGGUGUACCCCAGGAGUCAGGGUCAGUGGGAGCUGUCUUAGAGGCUGCCCAUCACAUGAAAACUCUAUUCACAUCCUUCCUAGAUCCCUGAAAGUCUCCUUGUGUUACAACAUCAGCUCAAAGUAUCAAGUCAUUACUGAAGUCAGGUCAGGGUGGGUGAGGCUCCCCGGGUGUGGUUCUUUAGGUACGGUUUCUGGAGCUCAAUUCCUCUCCAUCUGUAGACCCACGAAGAGAAGCUAUGUCCCAACAUGCAGUGAUGGAUCAGGCAUAGGAUAAUUGCCCUAAGACAGUGUGUUCACAGAGCGAGAACUGGGAAACUCAAAGGAGUCAUUAUACAGUCCAGCCUACACUCAAAUGAAGGGAGUUGCACAAGGGCCUAAAAACCAGGAGGCAGGGGGUCACUGGGGGCCAUCUCAGUGGCCGCCUACCAUUCUGCCUAUUUGACUCUAGUAAUAAAAGAAGUAAAAUUUUAGAGGAAACUUUUUUUUUUUUUUUGCUUUUUUAGGGCUGAAUCCAAGGCAUA
RNAcentral lists this long non-coding RNA (1783 nucleotides) under Sus scrofa (pig). Its description in RNAcentral is "lncRNA (ENSSSCG00035060445.1)". The record is from RNAcentral. Lineage: Eukaryota; Metazoa; Chordata; Mammalia; Artiodactyla; Suidae.